AGUGAACGCUGGCGGUAGGCCUAACACAUGCAAGUCGAACGGCAGCACAGUAAGAGCUUGCUCUUACGGGUGGCGAGUGGCGGACGGGUGAGGAAUACAUCGGAAUCUACUUUUUCGUGGGGGAUAACGUAGGGAAACUUACGCUAAUACCGCAUACGACCUACGGGUGAAAGCAGCGGAUCUUCGGACCUUGCGCGAUUGAAUGAGCCGAUGUCGGAUUAGCUAGUUGGCGGGGUAAAGGCCCACCAAGGCGACGAUCCGUAGCUGGUCUGAGAGGAUGAUCAGCCACACUGGAACUGAGACACGGUCCAGACUCCUACGGGAGGCAGCAGUGGGGAAUAUUGGACAAUGGGCGCAAGCCUGAUCCAGCCAUACCGCGUGGGUGAAGAAGGCCUUCGGGUUGUAAAGCCCUUUUGUUGGGAAAGAAAAGCAGCAGGUUAAUACCCCGCUGUUCUGACGUUACCCAAAGAAUAAGCACCGGCUAACUUCGUG
RNAcentral lists this ribosomal RNA (492 nucleotides) under uncultured bacterium. RNAcentral describes it as "partial 16S ribosomal RNA". It matches the Rfam family "Bacterial small subunit ribosomal RNA", at positions 29 to 507 of the family's 1533-position model. The record is from RNAcentral.